GACAGCAGCCGCCGCGGUAACACGUAGGUGGCAAGCGUUGUCCGGAAUUAUUGGGCGUAAAGGGCUCGCAGGCGGUUUCUUAAGUCUGAUGUGAAAGCCCCCGGCUCAACCGGGGAGGGUCAUUGGAAACUGGGAAACUUGAGUGCAGAAGAGGAGAGUGGGAUUCCACGUGUAGCGGUGAAAUGCGUAGAGAUGUGGAGGAACACCAGUGGCGAAGGCGACUCUCUGGUCUGUAACUGACGCUGAGGAGCGAAAGCGUGGGGAGCGAACAGGAUUAGAUACCCCCGUAGUCCCUGUCUCUUAUAC
This 306-nucleotide ribosomal RNA is filed under the name uncultured bacterium. RNAcentral describes it as "partial 16S ribosomal RNA". It matches the Rfam family "Bacterial small subunit ribosomal RNA", at positions 507 to 807 of the family's 1533-position model. The record is from RNAcentral.